Molecule: non-coding RNA, 117 nt
Filed under: Aneurinibacillus sp. XH2
Lineage: Bacteria; Bacillati; Bacillota; Bacilli; Caryophanales; Paenibacillaceae
Also listed under: 1 other name
Description: SAM riboswitch aptamer (S box leader)
Rfam family: SAM riboswitch aptamer (S box leader)
About the family: The SAM riboswitch is found upstream of a number of genes which code for proteins involved in methionine or cysteine biosynthesis in Gram-positive bacteria. The SAM riboswitch acts at the level of transcription termination control. The predicted structure consists of a complex stem-loop region followed by a single stem loop terminator region.
Source: Rfam by way of RNAcentral
UUCUUAUCAAGAGAGGCGGAGGGACUGGCCCAGUGAAGCCCGGCAACCCCAAUGACCCUAUUCGAGGGAAGGAAGGUGCCAAUUCCAGCAGGAUACACAUAUCCUGAGAGAUAAGGA